GAUGAACGCUGGCGGCGUGCCUAAUACAUGCAAGUCGAGCGAACGGACGAGAAGCUUGCUUCUCUGGUGUUAGCGGCGGACGGGUGAGUAACACGUGGAUAACCUACCUAUAAGACUGGGAUAACUUCGGGAAACCGGAGCUAAUACCGGAUAAUAUUUUGAACCGCAUGGUUCAAAAGUGAAAGACGGUCUUGCUGUCACUUAUAGAUGGAUCCGCGCUGCAUUAGCUAGUUGGUAAGGUAACGGCUUACCAAGGCAACGAUGCAUAGCCGACCUGAGAGGGUGAUCGGCCACACUGGAACUGAGACACGGUCCAGACUCCUACGGGAGGCAGCAGUAGGGAAUCUUCCGCAAUGGGCGAAAGCCUGACGGAGCAACGCCGCGUGAGAGAUGAAGGUCUUCGGAUCGUAAAACUCUGUUAUUAGGGAAGAACAUAUGUGUAAGUAACUGUGCACAUCUUGACGGUACCUAAUCAGAAAGCCACGGCUAACUACGUG
This 497-nucleotide ribosomal RNA is filed under the name uncultured bacterium. RNAcentral describes it as "partial 16S ribosomal RNA". It matches the Rfam family "Bacterial small subunit ribosomal RNA", at positions 28 to 507 of the family's 1533-position model. The record is from RNAcentral.